This is a non-coding RNA of Podarcis lilfordi (Lilford's wall lizard), 3375 nucleotides long. The record is from the annotation of a GenBank genome assembly. NCBI's taxonomy places the organism in Eukaryota, Metazoa, Chordata, Lepidosauria, Squamata, Lacertidae.
CUGUCAGGGGUUCAGGGACAGAGGCACAGGGUAGGCAGGAGAUGGAGAGCGAUGGGGAUGAAUCCCAAGACAGCGAGGAAGAGGAUGACAAUGACUCAAGAGAUUCCAUGAGUCUUUCCAGCGAAUCAGAGGAUUCCCAGAAGGGGGCGCCGGUGGUCAAGGCCAGGGGAGCCCCAGGGGGAACGUGUCAGGAGCAGGGGGCCAGCGGGGGAUCCCAAAGUGGCAGCUGGGCGUCAGGACCAGCCUCCCCGCCAGAGUGCAGCGAAGGGGGUGGAGGUUCCAGUGUAUCAGGGGAAGCAGCUCCGGCAGCAGAGAAGGGAGGGAGGUCGGAGCAAGCCACCCUCCCGGAAGGGGAGGGGAGUAGUGAAGGGAGUAGUGUAGCUGUCAAAAGGAAGGUUAGAGGUUGGGCGCGCGCGCCAAGUUCAAAUGUAGAGGCGCGCGGAAGUACAGGGAGCCCGGAGGAGGGGCCAGGUCCCAAAGCCCGCAGGAGGGGGCAAGAGCAAUCUGGGGAUUCCGCGUCAGGGGAAUCCAGGAGGGGCGAAACCCCAGCGGGCAGGAAGACCCUGAGGAAAAGGAAAGAGAGAAAGAGGUGGAGCAGAGCAAGCCUCUUAAACUGGUGCAGGGAGGGACUGACUCAGAGGGGACUUCAACGGUCUAAGCGUAACAGACGUGGGGCUGCGCGCCUCGGAUGUGAAGCAAACAAUGAACUGCAAUAAACACUUUUGUAUAUAAGAAGAACUUGGCGUUGGUCUUUUGUGAGCUGAGACCUGAGGCAGCCUUGACACUAGCCCUAACCUCAACCUCAAACCUGACCCUAACCCAAUCCCAAACCCUAACCCUAAGAUAUAAGGACUUACUGGAAAGCAAAACCCCAAGGUGGCUGUCACCGAUGGAAGUGAAAGCUCAGAAAAAGCUCAGUAUGGAGGUCAGAUGGCCGAAAUAUUGGGAAAUUUUGGAACAAGAGGGAGAUAGACUGAAAUCGCAGAGUUUUGAGAAAUUAAAAAACAAAGUGCGAGACUGGCUUCAUUUUUAUCAGAUAAUGGAGGCAUAUAAUUUGGACAAGAAAAUUGGCUUCCAGGUGGAAAAAUCAAAAUUUGAAACAGAACUGCUAGAACCCAAAACUAAGAUUUUGUCAAAGAUGUAUAACUUGCUGUUGAAAUGGAAUACACAGGAUGAAACGGUGAAAUCUGCUAUGAUUAAAUGGGCACAAGAUGUUGGACAUAACAUAAUGAUGGCUGACUGGGAACAGUUAUGGACCACAGGUAUGAAGUUUACGGCAUGCAAUGCCUUAAGAGAGAAUAUUAUGAAAAUGAUAUACAGGUGGUACAUGACACCAGUCAAGCUUGCAAAAAUCUAUCAUUUGCCCAAUAAUAAGUGUUGGAAAUGUAAGGAAACUGAAGGUACAUUCUUUCACCUUUGGUGGACGUGCCAAAGGAUUAAGGCUUUCUGGGAGAUGAUUUAUAAUGAAAUGAAAAGGGUAUUUAAAUAUACCUUCUUGAAGAAACCAGAGGCCUUUCUCCUGGGCAUGGUCGGCCAAAUGGUGCUAAAGAAGGACAGAACUUUCUUUAUGUAUGCCACAACAGCAGCAAGAAUACUUAUUGCAAAGUAUUGGAAGACGCAAGAUCUACCCACCCUGGAAGAAUGGCAGAUGAAGGUGAUGGACUACAUGGAAUUGGCGGAAAUGACUGGCAGAAUCCGAGACCAGGGAGAAGAGUCGGUGGAAGAAGAUUGGAAGAAAUUUAGAGACUAUUUACAGAAAUAUUGCAUAAUUAAUGAAUGUUAGAAUGAUGUCAGAAUGAAGUUAAGUGUUUUAAGCAGCAAUGUUAUAAAGGUGUAUGAAAAAUGGAUUAUUAACAGGUGAGAACUCAAAGUGAUAAUAUAUUAAGUUAAAGGACUAAGAUAAAAACAAAGAGGGAAAGAAAUUGCUGAAUUAACUAACUGAAUUGGAAUACAAAAAAGGGAGGUGUGAGGAGGUCAGGGAAGCAAGGAUAUGAAUAUAUGACAUAGAAAGAUUGAUGUGUUUUCUUUUUAAAUGUUUUUUAUCUUUUUUCUGUAUUUUGUAUUUUUUUGUCUUUUCUUUUUAAUUAUGUAAUUCUUUUCCUUUGAAUCCUUAAUAAAUAUCAUUUAAAAAAAAACAUCUUUAAGUAACCCCCCCCCAAAAACCAACCUGACCCUAACCCUAACCCUUACCCGCUCAACCCUAACCCUAACACUAAUCCUAAUCCUAACACUAGCCUCAACGCUAACCCUUACUCUACUCCUACACCUACCCCUACCCCUAAUGCUAACCAAAACCCGAUCCCAAACCCUAACCUCAAUCCUAACCCUAAACCUAGCCCUAACCUCAACCUCAAACCUGACCCUAACCCUAACCCUAACCCUAGCCCUAACCUCAACCUCAAACCUGACCCUAACCCUAACCCGAAGCUCAACCCUAACCCUAACCCUAACCCUACCCCUACCCCUAAUGCUAACCAAAACCCAAUCCCAAACCAAAAUCGAACUCUAACUCUAACCCCAACCCUAAACCUUAACCCUAACCUCAUCCUGAACACUUACCCUAAUCCUAAACGUAACCCUAACCAUAACCAUAGCCCUAACCGUAACCCUAACCCUAAUGUAACCCUAACCCUAACCCUAACCCUAACCUUAACCUUAACCUUAACCCUACCCCUACCCCUACCCCUACCCCUACCCAUACCCCUAACCCUAACCCUAACCCUAACCCUAGCCUCAUCCCGAACACUUACCCUAAUUGUCAGGGGUUCAGGGACAGAGGCACAGGGUAGGCAGGAGAUGGAGAGCGAUGGGGAUGAAUCCCAGGACAGCGAGGAAGAGGAUGACAAUGACUCAAGAGAUUCCAUGAGUCUUUCCAGCGAAUCAGAGGAUUCCCAGAAGGGGGCGCCGGUGGUCAAGCCCAGGGGAGCCCCAGGGGGGACGUGUCAGGAGCAGGGGGCCAGCUGGGCAUCCCAAAGUGGCAGCUGGGUGUCAGGACCAGCCUCCCCGCCAGAGUGCAGCGAAGGGGGUGGAGGUUUCAGUGUGUCAGUGGAAGCGGCUCCGGCAGCAGAGAAAGGAGGGAGGUCGGAGCAAGCCAUCCUCCCGGAAGGGGAGGGGAGCAGUGAAGGGAGUAGUGUAGCUGUUGAAAGGAAGGUUAGAGGCUGGGCGCGCGCGCCAAGUUCAAAUGUAGAGGCGCGCGGAAGUACAGGGAGCCCGGAGGAGGGGCCAGGUCCCAAAGCCCGCAGGAGGGGGCAAGAGCAGUCUGAUUCCGCGUCAGAGGAAUCCAGGAGGGGCGAAACCCCAGCGGGCAGAAGGACCCUGCGGAAAAGGAAAGAGAGAAAGAGGUGGAGCAGCGCAAGCCUCUUAAAUUGGUGCAGG